GCGUUGUUCGGAAUUACUGGGCGUAAAGGGCUCGUAGGCGGCCAACUAAGUCCGACGUGAAAUCCCCAGGCUUAACUUGGGAACUGCGUCGGAUACCGGAUGGCUUGAAUUCGGGAGAGGGAUGCAGAAUUCCAGGUGUAGCGGUGAAAUGCGUAGAUAUCUGGAGGAAUACCGGUGGCGAAGGCGGCAUCCUGGACCGACAUUGACGCUGAGUGAGCGAAAGCUAGGGGAGCAAACGGG
RNAcentral lists this ribosomal RNA (240 nucleotides) under uncultured bacterium. RNAcentral's name for it is "partial 16S ribosomal RNA". It matches the Rfam family "Bacterial small subunit ribosomal RNA", at positions 538 to 776 of the family's 1533-position model. The record is from RNAcentral.